AAGGAAGAGAGGUGGCCACUUGGGCUUGUUUGGAUAAGAUUAGCGUCCGGAGCUGCAGAUGUCAUUGGCUCUCCAUUCCUCCUCUAAAUCAAAUGAUAUAUAUGGGAAAGUGAAGGAAUGGCCGGACAGAACUUAUAAGCUCAAUAAAAAUGGCAGCCCAAGUGGCUUUCUCUUCUUCCCUUACCACCCAAAUACCUGUCCUGCUCCAUUUAUCUCCAUCAUCUCCCUUAAUUAGUUCAGCAAAGAAAAGGGUUCAUCAUUUCAAAAUCCAUGCAAUUGGUGGAGGAGAUGGAGAACUAAAACCAAAAGGGAAGAAGAAAUUUAUAACCAGAGAAGAAGAACCUGAACAGUAUUGGCAAACAGCAGGAGAAAGGAAAGGAGAGAACCCCAUGAAGACACCUCUUCCGUACAUCAUCAUAUUUGGCAUGUCAACUCCAUUUGUGAUCUUAGCCAUUGCUUUUGCUAAUGGUUGGAUUAAGGUACCGGUCCGAUGAUUUGUUCAGAGAUGCAGCAACAAUGGCAGCUAAAUCAGUGUUUGAAAGUUGGAUGGUUUCAGUUUAUCCAUUCAUUUCAGUUCUAAGCAUCUAUUUGUACACUACUUAUGAAUGCUCAUCUUGUGCAUACCACAAGCAUAUUACAAUUCAAUGACAAUCAAAUCAUGAGCUUUUUCUGUAACAGGUAACUAAAGUCUGCCAAAUAUAUGAGCAGAUCACAUCUGCAAUUUUUUUUUCCCAGUAGCUUAAAGUGUCUACAUGUUAAUUCCCAUCUAUGCUAAUUUAGUAUAUUUCUUCAUCUUUGAAGCCUUUUAUGGGAACUGAAGCUUACAAUUGCAAAAAAGAGCAGAAAGUAUAUCAUGUUCAAAAUCAAUAGCAAUUGAAUAUGGAAGUUUGCUGCAAAUACUCAAACCUUUUCCUAGGCUUACCUUUUUUUCUACUAUUUCCACUAACUUUAAUCUUAACAAUGUCUGUUGUGUAAAAUAAAUCCACCUACGACAUUAAAAGAAUAUGCUAUUACUUUUUCUUUUAUUGCCGUGUGGGCUUGUAUAGUACUACUGUCACAUACUUCUGAAGAAAGCGAUGAGUUGAUCCAAGUGCAACAGGCUGACCUCGAUUAUUCUGAAUAUAAAGAUGGUUCAACACUGAAGGACUAGGCCUUGGCAGUGACUGGUGACUUUCCACAGCAGAUCGGUGGUUCAACAAUGUUAAUUGAAGUUGUGGAGGUAUAUCAGGAGGCUGUUUACUGAAAUCAUUGUCAUCCAAGGACUCGUUAUCGUAGCUUGUCACUGGGGAUGAAGGAGUUUCAAACUCAGAAAGGCUUUCUGGAGCUUCUGGAAUAUCCUCCUGUACAGUAGAUUGUAACGAUUAAAACAAAUUAAAUAAGUAUAUAAUGAUAUGAACGUAUGAAGAACCAUUAAGCCUGCAGUGGAGCUGCAACUAGAAGAAGGGCUGCAAGAGUUCGUGUUAUCAUGCACAAAAUUCAUAAUGAAAAACUUGAUUCUGAGAAAUUUCUAAGUUAUAGUAGCUCUUGAAAUAAAUAGAAUUGCCACUGCUAUAACCUAUGUUGGUUGCAUAUUUGCGAUACAAGAAACACAGAGUACGAGACAAUGAUUACAAAAGGAAGGAAUUUAUACUCUAAUAGCAACCUACUCACCAUCCCUCAACUUUAAAGUUUAUUCUAUUUUCAUCGAUUAACUUUAUUUUAUUGCAUAAAAAUUUCUAAACUCUUAUUUUGAUUCAAUAAAGUCCUUUACUUGUUUUACCUAUUUCAGCCGCUUACUCAACCCCUUUCCCCUCUCUCUUUCAAUCCAGUUCUUUAUUUCUCCCACUUUCUCGUCUUCUUUCUCUCUACCCAUCUCUCUGUCUCCAAUCGCAAGCCACAAUGCAUUCUCCUCUUUUGCUCCUAUCAUCACCCAUAACCCCGUUCCACUGCCUCCUAUAGCGAUCAACCUCAUCCCUGCAAAAUCACAGCGUUGAAGAUUUCUUGCCAUCCUCUACUCCUCUGCCCUUCCUCACAAAAAAUUACAGCAUUGAAGAUAUCUUUGUUAUGCUGUUGUUCGAUUUGAUGAAACAUGUGGCUGUGGCUAUGAUGGAGUGGAGAUUUACAAGGAAACUUGAGUAGUUUUGAAGAUUUUCUAGUGUAAUUAAUAAUUUAGACCAUAUGUUUUGAGGAAUUUGUGUUUUAGACUAUGAUGGCAAUCUUAUUAAGGCGAGAGGCAACAAAAUACCCUAUGACUUUAACCGAAAGGUAAGACGAGAGCCUUUUUGAAGUGAGACACCAUACACACACACUUUUAACAUAAAAUAUCAUAAUUUUAAUUAGUUUAAUAUGUAAAAAAGCAUAUUGAAAAUAAGAGAAAAUUAUUUGCACUAGAUAUAAUAUAAGAGGAAUAAAAAGUAGAAAACAAUGUUAUAAAAAGGAAAUGAAAUUUA
Molecule: unclassified non-coding RNA, 2429 nt
Filed under: Hevea brasiliensis (rubber tree)
Lineage: Eukaryota; Viridiplantae; Streptophyta; Magnoliopsida; Malpighiales; Euphorbiaceae
Source: RNAcentral